This 223-nucleotide long non-coding RNA is filed under the name Physcomitrium patens. RNAcentral's name for it is "long non-coding RNA (PPAT_LNC008416)". Lineage: Eukaryota; Viridiplantae; Streptophyta; Bryopsida; Funariales; Funariaceae. The record is from RNAcentral.
UUUUUCUACCUUCGAUAAUUGAGAGUACUGCCUCUCAAAUUUCCUUAGUAGCUCUGUUGCUUGUAAAUUCUUAUUGGGCCAUUCAAUCCAUCCCAGAACCAGCUUCUUAGUAACACGAUCAGCAUCUUCCAAGAAAUAUUCGUCUUUCAAUGCAUGUGAAAAAACCUCCAAUGAAUUCCCAUAACAAUCAGUAAUCGAUGUAAUAUGGUCUCUUAUCUCCGGU